RNAcentral lists this ribosomal RNA (428 nucleotides) under uncultured archaeon. Its description in RNAcentral is "bacterial SSU rRNA". It matches the Rfam family "Archaeal small subunit ribosomal RNA", at positions 474 to 903 of the family's 1478-position model. The record is from RNAcentral.
UACCUGCAGCUCAAGUGGUGGCCGCUAUUAUUGGGCCUAAAACGUCCGUAGCCGGUUUAUUAAAUGCCUGGGUAAAUCGUGUAGCUUAACUAUACGAAUUCCGGGUAGACUGGUAAACUUGAGACCGGGAGAAGUUAGAGGUACUCCUGGGGUAGAGGUGAAAUUCUGUAAUCCUAGGGGGACCACCAGUGGCGAAGGCGUCUGACUAGAACGGGUCUGACGGUGAGGGACGAAGCCCUGGGGCGCAAACCGGAUUAGAUACCCGGGUAGUCCAGGGUGUAAACGCUACUUGCUUGAUGUUAGUCGGGCUCCGAGCCCGAUUAGUGUCGGAGAGAAGUUGUUAAGCAAGCUGCCUGGGAAGUACGGUCGCAAGACUGAAACUUAAAGGAAUUGGCGGGGAGCACAGCAACGGGUGGAGCGUGCGGUUU